CAUGCAAGUCGAACGGCAGCACGAGAGAGCUUGCUCUCUUGGUGGCGAGUGGCGGACGGGUGAGUAAUAUAUCGGAACGUGCCCAGUAGCGGGGGAUAACUACUCGAAAGAGUGGCUAAUACCGCAUACGCCCUACGGGGGAAAGGGGGGGAUCGCAAGACCUCUCACUAUUGGAGCGGCCGAUAUCGGAUUAGCUAGUUGGUGGGGUAAAGGCUCACCAAGGCAACGAUCCGUAGCUGGUUUGAGAGGACGACCAGCCACACUGGGACUGAGACACGGCCCAGACUCCUACGGGAGGCAGCAGUGGGGAAUUUUGGACAAUGGGGGAAACCCUGAUCCAGCCAUCCCGCGUGUAUGAUGAAGGCCUUCGGGUUGUAAAGUACUUUUGGCAGAGAAGAAAAGGUAUCCCCUAAUACGGGAUACUGCUGACGGUAUCUGCAGAAUAAGCACCGGCUAACUACGUGCCAGCAGCCGCGGUAAUACGUAGGGUGCAAGCGUUAAUCGGAAUUACUGGGCGUAAAGCGUGUGUAGGCGGUUCGGAAAGAAAGAUGUGAAAUCCCAGGGCUCAACCUUGGAACUGCAUUUUUAACUGCCGAGCUAGAGU
Molecule: ribosomal RNA, 604 nt
Filed under: Alcaligenes faecalis
Lineage: Bacteria; Pseudomonadati; Pseudomonadota; Betaproteobacteria; Burkholderiales; Alcaligenaceae
Description: bacterial SSU rRNA
Rfam family: Bacterial small subunit ribosomal RNA
Source: RNAcentral